AAACUCCACUUCCGUUCCUUGAAAGUCUUCCAAAGUUUUAUGCUUACGAACAGCUAGCAAAGGCAACAGGGGACUUCACCAACAACAACCGAAUUGGUGUGGGUGGUUGUGGUCAAGUUUUUCGGGGAAAACUUCCAGGUGCUAAAGUGGUUGCGAUUAAGAAGCUUAAUUAUAGUGCUGGACAGGAUGAAUUGGAAGGGGGGCAAGCUCAAUUUGAGACUGAGAUUAAAACCAUUAGCGGCAUCCGUCACCGGAAUCUUGUAGGG
RNAcentral lists this unclassified non-coding RNA (266 nucleotides) under Hevea brasiliensis (rubber tree). The record is from RNAcentral. Lineage: Eukaryota; Viridiplantae; Streptophyta; Magnoliopsida; Malpighiales; Euphorbiaceae.